Small nuclear RNA from Rattus norvegicus (Norway rat), 111 nucleotides. NCBI's taxonomy places the organism in Eukaryota, Metazoa, Chordata, Mammalia, Rodentia, Muridae. The record is from Ensembl.
GUGCUCACGUCGGGGCAGCACGUAUAUUAAAAUUGGAAUACAAGACAGAGAAGAUUAUCAUGGCCCCUGUGCAAGGAUGACACGAAAAUUUGUGAAGCGUUAAAAAAAAAA